This 1112-nucleotide long non-coding RNA is filed under the name Capra hircus (goat). RNAcentral's name for it is "lncRNA (ENSCHIG00010013941.1)". The record is from RNAcentral. Lineage: Eukaryota; Metazoa; Chordata; Mammalia; Artiodactyla; Bovidae.
GCGCGCCCUCGCACCUCGGCCUCCGCGCGGCCAGGAAAUUUCCAGGCCACUCGGCGCAACCCGAGACACUCGGACUCUGGAUUUUUGUUCUUAUUUUUAACCGAGCCCCCUCGAGUGACGUCGCGGGCCGGUCUCCUGGACACGUGCCUCGGUCCAAUGGUCGUAGCGCCGCGCGCCCACGUGACCGGCUCGGUGACAGCAGCCUCCUGCCGCCCCGCCCCCCCUUAAAGGGGCCGCGUCCCUGCGCUCCGGGUACGGAGCCUGGACCCGCGAGACCGCCGCCGCGUCCUCUGCCCGCGCGCGUGCGCGCGCGCGUUUUCCCCGCGGCUUCUCGGCGCUCUGAGAAACGCGCGCGACAGCCUCGCCGGGUCGCCCAGACGCGGACGGGGACAACCGCUGGAAGGGUGCUUUUUUUUUUUUUUUUAACAUUUCCAUAUUGUUUACCGUGGGGGGGAAAAAUCCCACAAUUCCUUGCACAAAAUGCAUAAAUAACAUUAAAUGAGCUGCCGAGAUACAAAGGGACUUCUGGAAGUCCGCCUCGCUGGAGAGGGGAACUGCCACUUACAUUUGACUUUGGUAGCCUGGGCAGCUUCCCGUGUUUAACGCAGAGCCGACGCGCAGGCCCCUCUUCCUGCAGACAGUCACUAGCGGCCGCCCCGCAGCGGGAAGCUUCUCCGCGUGACCAGGCGACCCGGCGCUGGACAUCUGCUUCUCCCCAACCUGGUGAGGCCGCGAUCGGCCCGGGAUCUCCGAUCCUAUCUCCUCCUGCCAGGCCCAGAAGACUGCCGGCAAACCGCCGCCCCCCGCCCCGCCCCCGCCGCCGCCCCCGCCGCUUCGGGAGAACCGGCCCCCUGCCCUCCCCAGGCUCGCGGCACAAAGGCGGACCUCGGAGCACAUCAAGGGGAGACGCAGCUCCCGACCCGGUAUGUCCCCAGCUCCGACGCGAGUCCGACGAAAUCUGCGGCCGCAGCAGAUCCUGGGGACGCUGGCUGCAGAUCGGAGCCUCCCAGUUUUUUCUUAAAACGACACCAGAGGAGGCUGACUUUUCCGGCCUCUGUCCUGUCCCCUCACUCCCCAUACUGCUCUGGGUGGGCGUGGGGACACUGAAAAAA